Molecule: ribosomal RNA, 497 nt
Filed under: uncultured bacterium
Lineage: Bacteria
Description: partial 16S ribosomal RNA
Rfam family: Bacterial small subunit ribosomal RNA
Source: RNAcentral
GAUGAACGCUGGCGGCGUGCCUAAUACAUGCAAGUCGAGCGAACAGAUAAGGAGCUUGCUCCUUUGCCGUUAGCGGCGGACGGGUGAGUAACACGUGGGUAACCUACCUAUAAGACUGGGAUAACUUCGGGAAACCGGAUCUAAUACCGGAUAACAUUUGGAACCGCAUGGUUCUACAGUGAAAGAUGGUUUUGCUAUCACUUAUAGAUGGACCCGCGCCGUAUUAGCUAGUUGGUAAGGUAACGGCUUACCAAGGCGACGAUACGUAGCCGACCUGAGAGGGUGAUCGGCCACACUGGAACUGAGACACGGUCCAGACUCCUACGGGAGGCAGCAGUAGGGAAUCUUCCGCAAUGGGCGAAAGCCUGACGGAGCAACGCCGCGUGAGUGAUGAAGGGUUUCGGCUCGUAAAACUCUGUUAUUAGGGAAGAACAAAAGUGUAAGUAACUGUGCACGUCUUGACGGUACCUAAUCAGAAAGCCACGGCUAACUACGUG